This is a long non-coding RNA of Mytilus californianus (California mussel), 920 nucleotides long. RefSeq lists it as uncharacterized. The transcript has 2 exons. NCBI's taxonomy places the organism in Eukaryota, Metazoa, Mollusca, Bivalvia, Mytilida, Mytilidae. The record is from RefSeq and is a predicted model, not a curated record.
UUUUCUACCCCAGGAAUAGAUAACCUGAGCUGUAUCUUGUAGUUUAUUUCUUACAGUUGAUACAGCACUAACACAAUUAUAUAAAUUGUUGAAAAUGUAUAUUCGGAAAACUUCUAGCUGUAGAAUUUCCAGUUAUAGUAUUUUUUAAUAAAUUACGUUAAAGGAUUUUCCCAACAUGUGAGCAAUAUAGGCACGCCUACAUAUUAAAAUUGACAGGAUGUAACCAACAAAUAAGUGUAUAUAAAUAUAGGUUCAAAAGUGUUUAUGUAUUGUGUCAUUGAUUCAUAUAGAGACAAGCUGAGCGACUGACAUCAAAUACAAGGAACUGACUAAGAUACCAUAGUAAGCUUAUUGCAUACAUAAAAGACAAUGAAGCUUUACCAGAAAGUCGUUGCUUUAAUUGUGAUUUUUGCCUUCUGUGGUGAUGUUGGCAAUCUGAUAAAUUCGGUAUGGACUGGACAAGAAAUGAUAUCACAAAACUCCGCUCUCUUGUUGCCUGGAGCCCAUGCAAUUUGGGGACAUGUGGCAAGGACAGUGGUAAGGGGUUUGUCAAGAAGAGGAAGGAAAAAAGGAGGUAGCGAACAUACAAAAGGCAAGAGACCGAGCACCAAAGGCAAACAUCAGAAAGGACAAAGCAGAAAGCAAAAAGACCAAGACCGGGCAGGUGGAAAGAAACAAAAAGGUGGAAAAGAUGGAAGUAGGAAGAGAGGAUAAAAAUAAGAUAUUAUUUUGUUACAUGUGUUAUUCCCUUCUUUAUAAAGGAUUAACACAGUGUUUAGGUGACUGUUCUAGAGAUCAACUUGUACGAUUGCGAUUUCAACGUAAACUGUAUAUUUUUUUCGCGAUCAAUGACAAUCAAACCACAUCCUUAUUUUUGUUACAAACACAUAUAUAUAUAUAUAAUAAAAACUAUAACACAA